UACGGGGGGGGGCAAGCGUUGUUCGGAAUUACUGGGCGUAAAGCGUGCGCAGGCGGCUUUGCAAGACAGAUGUGAAAUCCCCGGGCUCAACCUGGGAACUGCAUUUGUGACUGCAAGGCUGGAGUACGGCAGAGGGGGAUGGAAUUCCGCGUGUAGCAGUGAAAUGCGUAGAUAUGCGGAGGAACACCGAUGGCGAAGGCAAUCCCCUGGGCCUGUACUGACGCUCAUGCACGAAAGCGUGGGGAGCAAACAGG
This 254-nucleotide ribosomal RNA is filed under the name uncultured bacterium. Its description in RNAcentral is "partial 16S ribosomal RNA". It matches the Rfam family "Bacterial small subunit ribosomal RNA", at positions 524 to 776 of the family's 1533-position model. The record is from RNAcentral.